AUGUUCUCUGUAGCUGUGCUGCUGCUGCUGGCUGCUGGAUCCUGUGUAAAGUGUGAAACGCUGACUCAGCCAGCCUCUGUGACUGUGCAGCCAGGUCAACGUCUGACCAUCACCUGUCAGGUCUCUUAUUCUCUUAGUGGCUACAACACAGCUUGGAUCAGACAGCCUGCAGGGAAAGGACCGGAGUGGAUUGGAAUGAAACAUACUGGAGGUUCAUACUACAAAGAUUCUCUAAAGAACAAGUUCAGUAUCGACAUAGACUCUUCUAGCAAAACAGUGACUCUAAAUGGACAGAAUGUGCAGCCUGAAGACACUGCUGUGUAUUACUGUGCCAGGGAGGGACACAGUGACACAAAGCAUCAGUAG
Centropristis striata (black sea bass) is the source of this 366-nucleotide non-coding RNA. The record is from the annotation of a RefSeq genome assembly. NCBI's taxonomy places the organism in Eukaryota, Metazoa, Chordata, Actinopteri, Perciformes, Serranidae.